UUGCUCCAGCAGCACUUGAGAAAAAAAUGGGAGCAAUAUGAAAAUAUGGUACAAAGCUAUAUUAGAUUUCAACAAGAAAACGGGCCAGGGAAGAUCACGAUGGAAUUUCUAUUCCAGAAUGGCUGAAAUCUUGGAAGGAGACCCUUUGUUCAUCCCACCACUGACAUCAUCAUCACUGGGGAGUGUAAAAGUAAACACUCUCUCCGAGAUCUCCAAUACCCAGCAAUGUGCCACCCCUACAAAGAAGCAAG
Molecule: long non-coding RNA, 251 nt
Organism: Pomacea canaliculata
Lineage: Eukaryota; Metazoa; Mollusca; Gastropoda; Architaenioglossa; Ampullariidae
Exons: 3
Source: RefSeq, a predicted model, not a curated record